UACGUAGGGGGCAAGCGUUGUCCGGAAUCAUUGGGCGUAAAGAGCGUGUAGGCGGUUCGAUAAGUCUGCUGUGAAAGUCCAGGGCUCAACCCUGGGAUGCCGGUGGAUACUGUCGGGCUAGAGUACGGAAGAGGCGAGUGGAAUUCCCGGUGUAGCGGUGAAAUGCGCAGAUAUCGGGAGGAACACCUAUUGCGAAGGCAGCUCGCUGGGACGUUACUGACGCUGAGACGCGAAAGCGUGGGGAGCAAACAGG
Molecule: ribosomal RNA, 253 nt
Filed under: uncultured bacterium
Lineage: Bacteria
Description: partial 16S ribosomal RNA
Rfam family: Bacterial small subunit ribosomal RNA
Source: RNAcentral